RNAcentral lists this ribosomal RNA (253 nucleotides) under uncultured bacterium. RNAcentral describes it as "partial 16S ribosomal RNA". It matches the Rfam family "Bacterial small subunit ribosomal RNA", at positions 524 to 776 of the family's 1533-position model. The record is from RNAcentral.
UACCAGGGGGGCAAAUGUUGUUCGGAAUCACUGGGCGUAAAGGGAGCGUAGGCGGGUUCUUAAGUUAGGUGUUUAAUCCCGGGGCCCAACCCCGGACCGGCACUUAAAACUGGGAAUCUUGAAUAGUGGAGAGGUCGGUGGAAUUGGAGGUGUAGCGGUGGAAUGCGUAGAGAUCUCCAAGAACACCAGUUGCGAAGGCGGCCGACUGGACACAUAUUGACGCUGAGGCUCGAAAGCAUGGGGAGCAAACAGG